Molecule: ribosomal RNA, 845 nt
Filed under: uncultured marine bacterium
Lineage: Bacteria
Description: bacterial SSU rRNA
Rfam family: Bacterial small subunit ribosomal RNA
Source: RNAcentral
AUGCAGUCGUGCGAGAACGUUGGACCUACUUCGGUAGUGAAAACUAGUACAGCGGCGAACGGGUGAGUAACACGUAAUUAUCUGCCUUUGCGUUAGGGACAACCUAGGGAAACUUAGGCUAAUACCUAAUGGUCUGGUAACAGUAAAGGUGCUUCGGCAUCGCGCAGAGAGGAGAUUGCGGCCCAUCAGCUAGAUGGUAGGGUAAAGGCCUACCAUGGCUAUAACGGGUAGCAGGUCUGAGAGGACGGCCUGCCACAUGGGGACUGAGACACGGCCCUGACUCCUACGGGAGGCAGCAGUAGGGAAUCUUCGGCAAUGGGCGAAAGCCUGACCGAGCGACGCCGCGUGGGGAUGAAGCCCUUCGGGGUGUAAACCUCUUUUCUAGGGGAAGAAUAAGGCAUUUAAUACAUGUUGAUGACGGUACCCUAGGAAUAAGAGACGGCUAACUCUGUGCCGGCAGCCGCGGUAAGACAGAGGUCUCGAGCGUUAUCCGGAUUCACUGGGCGUAAAGGGCGUCUAGGCGGUUUUGUGUGUCACCUGUGAAAGCUCCCGGCUCAACCGGGAGAGGUCGGGUGAAACUACAAAACUCGAGCUUCGGAGGGGAGAAUGGAACUUCCAGAGUAACGGUGAAAUGUGCAGAUACUGGAAGGUACCUCGAUAGCGAAGGCAGUUCUCUGGCCGACAGCUGACGCUGAAGCGCGAAAGCGCGGGGAGCAAACCGGAUUAGAUACCCGGGUAGUCCACGCCCCAAACGAUGUCAGCUAGGUGUUGGCUCCUUUAACUGAGGGCCAGUGCCGCAGCUAACGCGUUAAGUUGACCGCCUGGGGACUACGGCCGCAAGGCUA